GAAACUGGGCGCGAGGUGAGGGGUGCUAUCUGUGAUUGAGGGACAUGGCAAAUAGAAUUGUCUCACACAGAAAUCGCACCCGUCACCUUGGCCCGCCUA
This 99-nucleotide microRNA precursor is filed under the name Felis catus (domestic cat). RNAcentral's name for it is "mir-342 microRNA precursor family". It matches the Rfam family "mir-342 microRNA precursor family". Lineage: Eukaryota; Metazoa; Chordata; Mammalia; Carnivora; Felidae. The record is from Rfam by way of RNAcentral.